Long non-coding RNA from Gambusia affinis (western mosquitofish), 2353 nucleotides. RefSeq lists it as uncharacterized. The record is from RefSeq and is a predicted model, not a curated record. The transcript has 3 exons. Lineage: Eukaryota; Metazoa; Chordata; Actinopteri; Cyprinodontiformes; Poeciliidae.
ACGAGAUCCAGCCGCAUGUUUUGAUAUAUGUAUAUCGUGGGGGUGCACGCAGCGGUACGAGCCGCAUUAACGGUGAAAAGAAGUGGCAGUAACAAUGUCCUGGUGGAUAAGCCGCGGAGCUCACUGACAGCAGCCUCCGCUGGAACCAGGAGGAGCUGUGAUGUUGAUAGCUUGUUCUCUCGAUUACACGGACUUAAGAGAUGUUGGCGACGUUGGCGUUACUGGGAGAGUCUCCUGAUCUCAGUAUCUAAAAGGAUCCAUGAUGUCAAGGUUUCCAGGACUAUUUUAAAGGCAGCAGAUGCAUCAUAUCCCUCACCUGAAAGGCCAUGUUUUCUUAUCUUUCCCAUUUUGAAGAGAAAUAGCAGCCUCUGUAUCGUAUUUAUACAGCAUGUCAACUAAAAAGGGCAUACAUUUACAAUUAGGUUAAUAAAAACAACUCCAAUCAAUUUAAAAAUGAAAAAAAAAAAAAUCACUUAUGUGAUAGGAUUUGCAAGAAAUAAAAAAGAAUGUGAAGAAUGAGAUUGUGUGAAACAAUUUCUUUCUCUCUUCCAUUUGAAUAAAAUGAACUAAAAUUUUCCAAAACUUCAGAGUUGGGAGGAUGGCGCUUCAAUAACAGCAGCGUUUAUGAGCAGUCAACUUAUUUCGCCAAUUUGACCUGCAGAGGUUUUUGCAGCAGGUUGCUAUUUAAGUUUUAAAGGCAUUUGUAGCAAAAAUUUCCCAUUAAAAAGGAAGCUGUGUUGCUGAUUACAGAAUGUACAUAAAUAGUUUUUAUCUAGUGAAACAAAAAAAAUAUAAUAAUAAGCAAGGGUUGAUUAGAGUGACCUUAAGAGGCUCAAACAUCCCAAGGUUAAUUACAUUGUAAUUAGUUUGGGUAUUCUGAUUAAUGGUGCAUUUGUUAGGGAAUUAGCUCAGCUGAGGCACAAAAUGAAGUCCGUCUGAAGUUGUGUUUAGUAUAUAAAGUUUUCUUUUUUUUUCAGAAACUUGCAGCCUGAUGUUUUUGAUUAAGAAGCCUGCUGCACAAAGAAAAAAAGGGCUUGCUCCCUAUUUGUGGGGGGGGAAAAAAAUUAAAAAUAAAAAUAUUAAAAGCAACAUCAGCUAAAGCUCCAGGAUGAACUUCUUCAGGCCUGUUGGUGCAUUUCUCUGUAAAGUUUGAUGGUUUUCUCAACAUUUUACACAGCUUUGCACAAAUACAUUGUUGUGGUGUUCCCUUAAACUUCACUGUCAUUGGGUUUUGCAAUUAUUGGAGAGCGUUUGGUUUUUAUAAAUGUCCAAUAUAAGAUAAAACAGAAUCUUUCUCUCUUGAACAAUCCUCUUAGCUUUCUUUUCCUGUGGAAUUUCUUCAAUAAUUCUUGAGGGAUAAUGUAGUUUCUUGUUGUGGAUGGAUUCUUAAUACCUUGGCUGCUUUUCAUUUUUAGUUCUCUCAAACUGACGAGGUCACGCAAGGAGAUUUAUUUCCCCAAUUCUACGGCAUAUUUGCUCUGGAAAGGGAGACUGCUGCCAUUCAAAUAUAUUCCAUAUCAUCCCGGAUCAACAUUUGACAGAACUUCUCUGUGCUCACGAGUCCAUCAUUUCUGACACGAUCCCUAACACCGACUGAAAUGCGGCCCAAUUCAUGACAGAAAGUCCUUGUGUAAUUUGACAUACUCCGCCUCCACCCAUCCACCACCAUCCUUCCCGUUCCUUUAGAAUCACUUUUUGACAGCUAAUCGUCCAGUGAGACCAUUUAUGAUGAGGCUUUGGCAGACUGAAGAUGGAUGAACUGAAGGAUGACCCAGCUCUCAGGUUGUGUCAGACCUUUGCUGGAUUUUCUUCUUCUUCCUCUUCUUCAUCUUAAGGAUCUGAUGUUUUAACUAUUUCUUUUCCGCUAUGGAAAGAGAAAACGUCUCCUAAAAUCCACCAACUUACGUACUUUUAAAGCAAUCGCCAACUUUUCUGUUAAACUUGGUUGGAACAAGAACAUCUUUGAACAAAAUUGUUUAAAAUUAAAUGGGUUACGUGUAAAUGAGCAGAAAACUGUCAGUAUUCCAAGAAUCAUUUGAAACCUGGGGAACUGUUGCUUUAGACAACGUUGGAAGAUUAUAUUAAAGUCUGCUAAUCAGAAAGAAAACUCCUAUGUCUAAUAAACCUCUAAGAUUUAAAUCAGUCUGACAGAGCUUGAGCUGUUUUACAAAAAGUUUCCUCUCUUGGAUGAAAACCUUCAGCUGUAAUUGGAGCAAAAGUAUCUUUUGUCUUCCACUUCAUAUUUCUAUAUUUUAUUUUGGUUUCAAAAUAAACUGAAGUUUCUGGUUUUAAUGUGACAAACUGGAAAAAAUUGAGGGGCAUACAUGGUUUUGCAAGCCACUGUAAGUAAAUG